AGCAGCCGCGGUAAUUCCAGCUCCAAUAGCGUAUAUUAAAGUUGCUGCAGUUAAAAAGCUCGUAGUUGGAUUUCGGGACCAGUAUGUUGGUCGUGCCUCGGUACGUACUGGCAUUGUUGGUUUCUACCUUCUGACGAACCAGGAUGUCAUUUAUUUGGUGUCUUGGGAAAUCAGGACUGUUACUUUGAAAAAAUUAGGGUGUUUAAAGCAGGCUCACGCUUGAAUACAUUAGCAUGGAAUAAUGAAAUAGGACGUUUGAUUCUAUUUUGUUGGUUUCUAGGAUCGACGUAAUGAUUAAUAGGGAUAGUUGGGGGCAUUAGUAUUCAAUUGUCAGAGGUGAAAUUCUUGGAUUUAUUGAAGACUAACUACUGCGAAAGCAUUUGCCAAGGAUGUUUUCAUUAAUCAAGAACGAAAGUUAGGGGAUCGAAGACGAUCAGAUACCGUCGUAGUCUUAACCAUAAACUAUGCCGACUAGGGAUCGGAUGAUGUUAAAUUUUUUAAUGACUCAUUCGGCGCCUUA
Molecule: ribosomal RNA, 520 nt
Filed under: uncultured Glomeromycotina
Lineage: Eukaryota; Fungi; Glomeromycota
Description: SSU rRNA
Rfam family: Eukaryotic small subunit ribosomal RNA
Source: RNAcentral